UGCUCCCUUCCACUGCAAACACAUAAAAUUGAAAUGAUGCAGAGAUUAGCAUGGCCCCUGCAUGAGGAUGACAUGCAAAUUUGUGAAGCAUUCGGCUUAUUU
Molecule: small nuclear RNA, 102 nt
Organism: Peromyscus californicus insignis
Lineage: Eukaryota; Metazoa; Chordata; Mammalia; Rodentia; Cricetidae
Source: RefSeq, a predicted model, not a curated record